GACGAACGCUGGCGGCGUGCUUAACACAUGCAAGUCGAACGGAAAGGCCUGUCUGUUGUGGGGUGCUCGAGUGGCGAUCGUGUGAGUAACACGUGUGUAACCUGCCCUGUGCGUGGGGCUAUCUGUAGGAAACUGGGGCUAAUACCGGAUAGGAGCUGUGGUGGCAUGGUGGGGGUUGGAAAGUUUCGGCGGUUGUUGAUGGACUCGUGGCUUAGCAGCUUGUUGGUGGGGUAUGGGCUUAUCAAGGCUUUGACGGGUAGCCGGCCUGAGAGGGUGACCGGCGACAUUGGGACUGAGAUACGACCGAGACUCCACAGGGAGGCAGCAGUGGGGAAGAUUGCACAAUGGGCGCAAGCCUCAUGCAGCACAGCCGCGUGCGGGAUGACGGCCUUCGGGUUGUAAGAAAAAAUCGCUUGUGACGAAGCGUGAGUGACGGUAAUGGGUAAAGAAGCACCGGCUAACUACGUG
This 468-nucleotide ribosomal RNA is filed under the name uncultured bacterium. Its description in RNAcentral is "partial 16S ribosomal RNA". It matches the Rfam family "Bacterial small subunit ribosomal RNA", at positions 28 to 507 of the family's 1533-position model. The record is from RNAcentral.